Branchiostoma floridae (Florida lancelet) is the source of this 94-nucleotide non-coding RNA. The record is from Rfam. NCBI's taxonomy places the organism in Eukaryota, Metazoa, Chordata, Leptocardii, Amphioxiformes, Branchiostomatidae.
GUUUACCCGUGUGUGGAUAGUAUUCAGCACCAAGGACAGGCAUGUUUACCCGUGUGUGGAUAGUAUUCAGCACCAUGGACAGGCAUGUUUACCU